Rattus norvegicus (Norway rat) is the source of this 1828-nucleotide long non-coding RNA. RefSeq lists it as uncharacterized. NCBI's taxonomy places the organism in Eukaryota, Metazoa, Chordata, Mammalia, Rodentia, Muridae. The record is from RefSeq and is a predicted model, not a curated record.
GUCCCUGACCCCCCGGAAGCCCUGACCACCAUGUACUUUUUGCUAACUCACUGUUAUGAUUAUAGCCAAAAUAGGUAACAUACACGUAUGCCUCAUUUACUCCACCAAUCACAUCCCUGUAACCAUGCAUCUGCUUCUGUAAGCCUGCUUCUGCUCCCCAAAAUACUAUAAAAAGCCCACCCUGGCUCUGCUAGGCGCGCCAGUCUUUCAAAUUGACUGGGACGCCCACAGAUAUCUGUGUAUCCUGAUCAAUAAAAAUCCUCUUGCAGAUUGCAGCCUGUGGACUCGGACUGGUCAUUGGGCUUGAGGAUCUCCCUCCUGAGGGAAGAUUCUCUCUGAGAGUCUUACAUAUGGGGGCUCGUCCGGGAUCGGAGAUCCUCUGCCUAGAGACCACCGACCACCCACCGGGAGGCUAAAAGACCUACAGGUGAUACAGAAAGAAAUCUGCUCACAGCUGACAGCAGCCUAUGCCCCGGAGACCCCUGAGACAUCCCAUCAGUUCCAGGUUAGAGACUACAGCUACACUGAGCCCAGACACUCGAGCCUCGCUAGAAAGGACCAUACCUGGUGCUGCUGACCACCCUGACAGCCAUCAAGUCUCAGCCCUCACCAGCAGCGUACUAGCUGUUGGGGCUGAGAGCUGGGACCUAGAGGGACACUCAGAUCUUCAAAAAGCUCCCUAGACUUAAGUGAUUGGGAGGUUGCUAUAAUGCUCACUUGAGGAGUGUGUUUUAGAAACAAGAAUUUCAUGUUUGCCUGUUUGCCCUGGGUUCCCUUGGAAUAGGUGUAAGGAUAGGCUUGAUUUUUAUUACAAAUGAUGUAACAUUACAUAUGUUAGUACUCCUAACACUUCUUGGGACUGUGCCUCAGGGAUCACAACCUGUAUAAGUUUAGAAGUUCUAAAAGACCUUGGUGUAUAGGUUCAGAUAGUGUCCAGAUUAGAAUCCUGAUGCUAAAGACUUAAUAAGACACAAAAGAGAGUUGAGAAUUAUUUAAGGCUAUCCAGGUGCUACAAGGGCAGCACAAGGACAUCUUCAGUUGCCCUACAAUGCAAAAAAGAAUAAAAAAGACUUUUUAGCUGACCUCCAAGAACACCUAACCUCCCUCUCAGAGGUAGUCCUUCAAAAUAGGAAAAGAUUAGACCUGAUAUUCCUUAAAGAAAGAGUCUGUGUGCUACACUAAAAGAAGAAUGUUUCUAUGCAGAUCAGACAGGAAUAAUAAGAGAUAUAGUCUUUCAGUCAUUCAAACUUUUGUGCUGAGACAACAGUAUCAGAUGGUGAAAAAAAAAAAAAAAACAGAGGUACCUAAAACAAGUUGAGUGGAAGAUUCCACUCAAGGACAAAAAAAGAAAAUGGGGGAAUGAAAGACCCCCUCCCAGAAAGGGAAUUGUACAAGCCCAAGGCCCUCAACUAUAGAAGUAAAAAGUAAGUUUUUAGAUAUGUGGGACAAGCUGACCGAUCAUUUAGACGAAACAGACCAGAAAAGAAAACAAAAUGCAGAAACCAGACUAAAUUAUGGGCACUGCUCCAUGGGCCACCUGGCAGAAAAAAAAAAAAGUCCCUGACCCCCCGGAAGCCCUGACCACCAUGACUUUUUGCUAACUCACUGUUAUGAUUAUAGCCAAAAUAGGUAACAUACACGUAUGCCUCAUUUACUCCACCAAUCACAUCCCUGUAACCAUGCAUCUGCUUCUGUAAGCCUGCUUCUGCUCCCCAAAAUACUAUAAAAAGCCCACCCUGGCUCUGCUAGGCGCGCCAGUCUUUCAAAUUGACUGGGACGCCCACAGAUAUCUGUGUAUCCUGAUCAAUAAAAAUCCUCUUGCAGAUUG